Non-coding RNA from Gloeophyllum trabeum ATCC 11539, 103 nucleotides. Lineage: Eukaryota; Fungi; Basidiomycota; Agaricomycetes; Gloeophyllales; Gloeophyllaceae. The record is from the annotation of a RefSeq genome assembly.
UCCGAUAUGGUGUAGUGGCUAACAUUACCGCCUCUCAUCGUUAACGGCUUACGUAAGCGUUACAUAAUCGCGGUAGCCCGGGGUUCGAUUCCCCGUGUCGGAA